UUACAUGUGGUUGUACAGAGCAUUGAAGAUUUUGAGUUUUUAGGGAGCAGGUAUAACUGCUACAUGUAAG
Molecule: transfer RNA, 70 nt
Filed under: Calanus finmarchicus
Lineage: Eukaryota; Metazoa; Arthropoda; Copepoda; Calanoida; Calanidae
Description: tRNA-Gln
Source: RNAcentral